RNAcentral lists this long non-coding RNA (2109 nucleotides) under Homo sapiens (human). RNAcentral's name for it is "HSALNT0336548". Lineage: Eukaryota; Metazoa; Chordata; Mammalia; Primates; Hominidae. The record is from RNAcentral.
UCGGCCUCCCAAAGUGCUGGGAUUACAGGCGUGAGCCACUGUGCCCGGCCAGAAGUGAUUGCUUUCUAAAGGUAGAUUACUGGCCAGAGUUUUUGAGUUACAAGAGCCACUCCAGAGAUUUCUUUUAGAAAAACAGUCACCACUGGCAACACAUUUCAGUGACACAGAAUGGCUCACAAAACUUGCUUACUUAUGUAACAUAUUCAACCUGCUCAAUGAAGUCAAUCUGUUGUCACUUCAAGGGAGAAUGACAACGGUGUUCAAGUCAACAGAUAAAAGUGGCUGCAUUCAAAGCCAAACUAGUAUUAUGAGGGCAAUGCAUAAACAUUGGGAUUUCUGACAUGUUUCAAACAUUAGCAGAAAUCUUGAAACAGACUGAGCCAGGGCCUUCUUUCUCCCAGCUGGUACAUGGAUCACCUAUCUCAGCUUUUUAAAGAAUCUGAGCAUUAAUUCCCAACCAUAAAAAAACCCGAACUGGGAAGAAAUGGAUAGCGACCCACUUGUAAAUUGCCAGGUGAAUCAACUUUGUCCACACUAGAAGAGAAUCAACUGCUUGAGACUGCAAAUGACAGUGGUCUUAAAAGUAUGUUUGAGACAACUUCAAGUCUCCAUACAUUUUGGAUUAGAGUCAAGGCAGAAUAUCCUGAGAUUGCCACAAAAGCACUGAAAAGCCUGCUUCCAUUUCCAACAUCAUAUCUUUGUGAAGCAGGGUUUUCUGCAAUGAUAGCGACCAAAAUGAGAUUACAGAGUAGACUGGACAUAAUCAACAAACUUUGGGUGUCACUGACUCCCAACACUCCCAGAUGAGACCGUCUAGUUGUGGAAAACAAGCUCCGGGCUCCCACUGAUUCUACAUUAUGGUCUGUGGAGAAAUUGUCUUCCUCAAAACCAGACCCUGGUGCCAAAAAGGUUAGGGACUUCUGCUAUACACUCUGAAGUUAUCCUUCAAGAGCGAAAGAGAAAGACUUCCACAGACAAAAAUUGAAGGAUUUUUGUGGCCAGUAUAUCUGCUUUGCAAGAAAUGUUAAAAGCCUUCAGAGAGAAGGGAAAUGACACAGGUCAGAAACUCACAUCUAGACAAAGAAAGCAAGAGCAUCGGAAAAGGAAUAAGUGAAGAAGAAGUAUUGAAGGGAAAUAAAGGCCUCAUCUGCUAGAAGAGAAUCCUUAAGUCCCAAAGAUGCACUAUAGAUGACAGAAUGCACUGUCGUGGCUGUAAGUUCCUAUCUCAUCAUCACUUUGGUGCAACUCCACAUCUGCAACUAGCCAUGAGAUAAGAGAAAAGGCCAGAUGACAUAUAUACCCUACACCAAGAAUGCAUGGAUGAAGAAUGAAGUUGAUAACAACCUACAAGCUGGUUCUUAGGCGCUGUCAGAACUCUAGGAGAACAAAGAAGCCUUCUAUUAAGGCAGAAGACAAUCCUGCUUCCUAAUAUAGAAAAGAGGAAAGGAUUUUAUAUUCAAAUAACUUCUCCCCUAUAUCCCUUUAGUAACACAUUUUUUCCCAAGUAGUUAGAAAACAAGAAUUUUUAUUCAGUAAAGUCAUAACUGGCUUUGAGAAGCAUACCAUUGCAUGGCAGUUAUAUAUUACUAGUAAAAUAUACAUCUUGACAAUAUCCCAGAAAACCGAGGUACUUGUUUUGAUAGAAAAACAUGUAUCAAAAUUCACAUAUUGAUAAAUCAUAAAAUUACUGUUGCUAUGCUGUUCUACUUAGAAUUUCAAAGUAAUCUAUCAUGUUUCUACAUCACUGUAACCAAUAUAAGUAAUCUAGAACAUGUUAAUUUAAGCAUAUAAUUUAUAACUUAUUAAUGACAAAACUUUGACAUGAACAUGCAAUGUAAAAGGUAGUUAUAAACCUUGUAACUAUGUGAGUUAAUUUGAAGAAACAAAGUAUGCCAUCAAAGUAACAUUUCAAAAUGUGUAAAGGUGAAACAGAGACAUUUUUACAGGUAAACAUUUUAUAUAUAUAUUUAGUAGCUGCCAAACUCAGGGAGCACUGGGAAGGCCUCAUUUAGAUGUUUUACCUAAAAAUGCAUAUGACACACUGUUCUCUACCCUAAUGUAGGCAUGUAGACCCUAACCAUAUAGAUUUAUAGACCCAGAAAAUAUACA